Molecule: ribosomal RNA, 541 nt
Filed under: uncultured archaeon
Lineage: Archaea
Description: bacterial SSU rRNA
Rfam family: Archaeal small subunit ribosomal RNA
Source: RNAcentral
CAGCCGCCGCGGUAAUACCGGCGGCUCGAGUGGUGGCCACUAUUACUGGGCUUAAAGCGUUCGUAGCUGGUUUGUUAAGUCUCUGGGGAAAUCUUCCGGCUUAACCGGAAGGCGUCUCAGGGAUACUGGCAGACUAGGGACCGGAAGAGGUGAGAGGUACUCCAGGGGUAGGAGUGAAAUCCUGUAAUCCUUGGGGGACCACCUGUGGCGAAGGCGUCUCACCAGGACGGCUCCGACAGUGAGGGACGAAAGCUGGGGGAGCAAACCGGAUUAGAUACCCGGGUAGUCCCAGCCGUAAACGAUGUGCAUUAGGUGUAUCGGUGACCACGAGUCACCGAGGUGCCGAAGAGAAAUCGUGAAAUGCACCGCCUGGGAAGUACGGUCGCAAGGCUGAAACUUAAAGGAAUUGGCGGGGGAGCACCACAACAGGUGGAGCCUGCGGUUUAAUCGGACUCAACGCCGGGAAACUCACCAGAUAAGACAGCUGAAUGAUAGUCGGGCUGAAGACUCUACUUGACUAGCUGAGAGGAGGUGCAUGGCC